UCGAGAAUCUUCCGCAAUGGACGAAAGUCUGACGGAGCGACGUUACGUGAAUGAAGAAGCCCUUCGGGGUGUAAAGUUCUUUUAUGUGGGAAAAAAUUAUUGAUUGUACCACAUGAAUAAGGGGUUGCUAACUCUGUGCCAGCAGCAGCGGUAAUACAGAGACCCCAAGCGUUACCCGGAUUUAUUGGGCGUAAAGGGUUCGUAGGUGGUAUAGUAAGUUUCCUGUUAAAACUCAUCGGCUCAACCUUUGAGGUGCAGGAAAUACUGCUAAACUUGAGGGCGUUAGAGGUUAGCGGAACCGACGGAGUAGGGGUGAAAUCCGUUGAUAUCGUCGGGAACACCAAAAGCGAAGGCAGCUAACUAGGACGACCCUGACACUGAGGAACGAAAGCGUGGGGAGCAAAAAGG
This 408-nucleotide ribosomal RNA is filed under the name uncultured bacterium. Its description in RNAcentral is "bacterial SSU rRNA". It matches the Rfam family "Bacterial small subunit ribosomal RNA", at positions 355 to 776 of the family's 1533-position model. The record is from RNAcentral.